UCUUCCGUAGGUGAACCUGCGGAGGGAUCAUUACUGAGUUUAUGCUCUACAACCCUUUGUGAACAUACCUAUAACUGUUGCUUCGGCGGGUAGGGUCUCCGCGACCCUCCCGGCCUCCCGCCUCCGGGCGGGUCGGCGCCCGCCGGAGGAUAACCAAACUCUGAUUUAACGACGUUUCUUCUGAGUGGUACAAGCAAAUAAUCAAAACUUUUAACAACGGAUCUCUUGGUUCUGGCAUCGAUGAAGAACGCAGCGAAAUGCGAUAAGUAAUGUGAAUUGCAGAAUUCAGUGAAUCAUCGAAUCUUUGAACGCACAUUGCGCCCGCCAGCAUUCUGGCGGGCAUGCCUGUUCGAGCGUCAUUUCAACCCUCAAGCUCUGCUUGGUGUUGGGGCCCUACAGCUGAUGUAGGCCCUCAAAGGUAGUGGCGGACCCUCCCGGAGCCUCCUUUGCGUAGUAACUUUACGUCUCGCACUGGGAUCCGGAGGGACUCUUGCCGUAAAACCCCCAAUUUUCCAAAGGUUGACCUCGGAUCAGGUAGGAAUACCCGCUGAACUUAAGCAUAUCAAUAAGCGGAGGAAU
This 579-nucleotide ribosomal RNA is filed under the name Colletotrichum gloeosporioides. RNAcentral's name for it is "eukaryotic LSU rRNA". The stretch from base 206 to 359 matches the Rfam family "5.8S ribosomal RNA". Lineage: Eukaryota; Fungi; Ascomycota; Sordariomycetes; Glomerellales; Glomerellaceae. The record is from RNAcentral.